Molecule: ribosomal RNA, 253 nt
Filed under: uncultured bacterium
Lineage: Bacteria
Description: partial 16S ribosomal RNA
Rfam family: Bacterial small subunit ribosomal RNA
Source: RNAcentral
UACAGAGGUCUCAAGCGUUGUUCGGAUUCAUUGGGCGUAAAGGGUGCGUAGGCGGCGCGGUAAGUCGGGUGUGAAAUCUCGGGGCUUAACUCCGAAACUGCAUUCGAUACUGCCGUGCUUGAGGACUGGAGAGGAGACUGGAAUUUACGGUGUAGCGGUGAAAUGCGUAGAUAUCUGGAGGAACACCGAUGGCGAAGGCAGGUCUCUGGGCCGAUACUGACGCUGAGGAGCGAAAGCGUGGGGAGCGAACAGG